Molecule: long non-coding RNA, 636 nt
Organism: Canis lupus familiaris (dog)
Lineage: Eukaryota; Metazoa; Chordata; Mammalia; Carnivora; Canidae
Exons: 2
Source: RefSeq, a predicted model, not a curated record
UGAUUUCACUUAAACUCUCAUCUCAUAGUGAGCUUUGGAGGGAAGCCAAACUACGAGAGGUUUCUUUGACAUCUGACUUCCUGUUGGGUUCAGCUAAAGAGGAAGAGGCAGCAGGAGCUGAGGCAUUUUGCAUUCUACCUUCCACCCUGGGGAUGCCAAUGCCUGGCUCCUGUCAGGGGGCCCUCUUCACACUGCCCUCUCUGACUCCAAGCUCUGAUAUGUCCUGGGAUGUCCUACAGGUGGAACCUAAAAACAAAAAUGAAAACAAAAGAGCUUCCCUGUGAGAGCAGAAAGAUUCUCAAAUAAAACAUGGACAUCUCAAAAUCUAAAAGGGCUCCCCGGAAAUGAAUUGUAAGAGGCAAUCAAAAUGCACAGACGGGAGUGUGGGCAAGACUGGAAAUCAUCUAAACAUAAUAAAAUAAAUCAAUCUGGCAAGUUAGAGAUCAGUUUCACUCCAAACCACUUCUUCUGUCUGAACCUGUUUUCCCACUUGUAAAUGAAGGAAUUAGACUAAACUUGGUAGCCUAAUAACAUAUACUACCAACUUAAUAUGUUCUAUGCUCUACUCACUUUAACUUUUAUUCACUUGUUUUACCUUCACAGCAAAGGUUAAAACUUAUUUGGAAGAGCCCUUGA